AUUGAACGCUGGCGGCAUGCCUUACACAUGCAAGUCGAACGGCAGCACGGGGGCAACCCUGGUGGCGAGUGGCGAACGGGUGAGUAAUGCAUCGGAACGUGCCCGAAUCGUGGGGGAUAACGUAGCGAAAGUUACGCCAAUACCGCAUAAGCCCUGAGGGGGAAAGCAGGGGGAUCGCAAGACCUUGCGCGAAUGGAGCGGCCGAUGUCAGAUUAGCUAGUUGGUGGGGUAAAGGCCUACCAAGGCGACGAUCUGUAGCGGGUCUGAGAGGAUGAUCCGCCACACUGGGACUGAGACACGG
This 301-nucleotide ribosomal RNA is filed under the name uncultured bacterium. RNAcentral's name for it is "bacterial SSU rRNA". It matches the Rfam family "Bacterial small subunit ribosomal RNA", at positions 29 to 329 of the family's 1533-position model. The record is from RNAcentral.